Molecule: ribosomal RNA, 501 nt
Filed under: uncultured bacterium
Lineage: Bacteria
Description: partial 16S rRNA
Source: RNAcentral
GCACAGAGUUAGCCGUGGCUUAUUCUACCUAUACGGUCAAACUCAAGGAUUGUUCACCCUUGAGUCUUCAUCUAGGUCUAAAGAAGUUUACAAUCCGAAGACCUUCAUCCUUCACGCGGUGUCGCUCCAUCAGGCUUUCGCCCAUUGUGGAAUAUUCCAAACUGCUGCCUCCCGUAGGAGUCUGGGCCGUAUCUCAGUCCCAGUGUGGCCGAUCACCCUCUCAGGCCGGCUAACCAUCGUAGCCUUGGUGGGCCAUUACCCCGCCAACUAGCUAAUGGUGCUUGAGCCAAUCUCCAAGUGAUAGCUUAUAAAUAGAGGCCAUCUUUAACCUCACUUCCCGAAGGAAGCGUGGUCUCAUCCGGUAUUAGCACGCCUUUCGGCGCGUUAUCCCAAUCUUGGAGGGAUGUUACCCAAGUAUUACUCACCCGUUCGCCGCUUUACUCACCCUUGCGGGCUUUCACGCUCGACUUGCAUGUCUAAGACGCACCGCCAACGUUUGUC